AUUGAACGCUAGCGGCAUGCCUAACACAUGCAAGUCGAACGGCAGCACGAGGAGCUUGCUCCUUGGUGGCGAGUGGCGGACGGGUGAGUAACGCGUAGGAAUCUGCCUCGUAGUGGGGGACAACCCGGGGAAGCUCGGGCUAAUACCGCAUAAUCUCUUCGGAGCAAAGUUGGGGACCUUCGGGCCUAACACUAUGAGAUGAGCCUGCGUUGGAUUAGCUAGUUGGUGGGGUAAAGGCCUACCAAGGCGACGAUCCAUAGCUGGUCUGAGAGGACGACCAGCCACACUGGGACUGAGACACGGCCCAGACUCCUACGGGAGGCAGCAGUGGGGAAUAUUGGACAAUGGGCGAAAGCCUGAUCCAGCAAUGUCGCGUGUGUGAAGAAGGCCUUCGGGUUGUAAAGCACUUUUAGUGGGGAAGAAAAAGACAAGGAUAAUACCCUUGGAAAUUGACGUUACCCACAGAAAAAGCACUGGCUAACUCUGUGCCAGCCGCCGCCGUAA
Molecule: ribosomal RNA, 504 nt
Filed under: uncultured bacterium
Lineage: Bacteria
Description: partial 16S ribosomal RNA
Rfam family: Bacterial small subunit ribosomal RNA
Source: RNAcentral